This 490-nucleotide ribosomal RNA is filed under the name uncultured bacterium. RNAcentral describes it as "partial 16S ribosomal RNA". It matches the Rfam family "Bacterial small subunit ribosomal RNA", at positions 28 to 507 of the family's 1533-position model. The record is from RNAcentral.
GAUGAACGCUAGCUACAGGCUUAACACAUGCAAGUCGAGGGGAAACGAUGAGAGAGCUUGCUCUCUUAGGCGUCGACCGGCGCACGGGUGAGUAACGCGUAUCCAACCUACCCAUUACAGGGGGAUAACCUUGCGAAAGUAAGACUAAUACCCCAUGGCAUUUUAUGGUGGCAUCAUUAUAGGAUUAAAGAUUUAUUGGUAAUGGAUGGGGAUGCGUCUGAUUAGCUUGUUGGCGGGGUAACGGCCCACCAAGGCAACGAUCAGUAGGGGUUCUGAGAGGAAGGUCCCCCACAUUGGAACCGAGACACGGUCCAAAAUCCUACGGGAGGCAGCAGUGAGGAAUAUUGGUCAAUGGGCGAGAGCUUGAACCAGCCAAGUAGCGUGCAGGAGGACGGCCCUAUGGGUUGUAAACUGCUUUUAUAGGGGAAUAAAGUGAGCUACGUGUAGUUUAUUGCAUGUACCCUAUGAAUAAGGACCGGCUAAUUCCGUG